UACGUAGGGUGCAAGCGUUAAUCGGAAUUACUGGGCGUAAAGCGUGCGCAGGCGGUGAUGUAAGACAGAUGUGAAAUCCCCGGGCUCAACCUGGGAACUGCAUUUGUGACUGCAUCGCUGGAGUGCGGCAGAGGGGGAUGGAAUUCCGCGUGUAGCAGUGAAAUGCGUAGAUAUGCGGAGGAACACCGAUGGCGAAGGCAAUCCCCUGGCCUGCACUGACGCUCAUGCACGAAAGCGUGG
This 240-nucleotide ribosomal RNA is filed under the name uncultured bacterium. RNAcentral's name for it is "partial 16S ribosomal RNA". It matches the Rfam family "Bacterial small subunit ribosomal RNA", at positions 524 to 764 of the family's 1533-position model. The record is from RNAcentral.